AGUGAACGCUGGCGGUAGGCCUAACACAUGCAAGUCGAACGGCAACACAGUAAGAGCUUGCUCUUCCGGGUGGCGAGUGGCGGACGGGUGAGGAAUACAUCGGAAUCUACUUUUUCGUGGGGGAUAACGUAGGUAAACUUACGAUAAUACCGCAUACGCCCUACGGGUGAAAGCAGUGGAUCUUCGGACCUUGCGCGAUUGAAUUAGCCGAUGUCGUAUUAGCUAGUUGGCGGGGUAAAGGCCCACCAAGGCGACGAUCCGUAGCUGGUGUGAGAGGAUGAUCACCCACACUGGAGCUGAGACACGGUCCAGACUCCUACGGGAGGCCGCAGUGGGGAAUAUUGGACAAUGGGGGCAAGCAUGACCCAGCCAGACCGCGUGUGUGAAGAAGGCCUUCGGGUUGUAAAGCCCGUUUGUUGGGAAAGAAAAGCAGCAGGUUAAUACCACGCUGUUCUGACGGUACCCAAAGAAUAAGCACCGGCUAACUUCGUG
Molecule: ribosomal RNA, 492 nt
Filed under: uncultured bacterium
Lineage: Bacteria
Description: partial 16S ribosomal RNA
Rfam family: Bacterial small subunit ribosomal RNA
Source: RNAcentral